Molecule: long non-coding RNA, 391 nt
Filed under: Anas platyrhynchos platyrhynchos (common mallard)
Lineage: Eukaryota; Metazoa; Chordata; Aves; Anseriformes; Anatidae
Description: lncRNA (ENSAPLG00000022731.1)
Source: RNAcentral
GGGUGCAGGUAGGGAGCUCAGCGUGCUGGCUGGGUGCUCAGGGUGCUCUCAGGGUGCAAGUAGGGUGCAGGCAGGGUGCAAGUAGGGCGCACUCAGGGCACAAUUAGGGUGCUCAGGGUGCAGCCAGGGUGCACUCAGAGCACAAUUAGGGUACCCAGGGUGCAGGUAGGGCACGCUCAGGGUGCUCAGGGUGCUGGCUGGGUGCUGGAAGGGUGUGGGCAGGGUGCAGUCAGGGUGCUCAGGGUGCUGGCUGGGUGCUCAGGGUGUGGGCAGGGUGCUCAGGGUGUGAGCAGGGUGCAAGUAGGGUGCUCAGGGUGCAGCCAGGGUACACUCAGGGCACAGUUAGGGUGCUCAGGGUGCAGGCAGGGUGCUCAGGGUGCUCAGGAUGCAA